GAUAGUUGGAAUUGAAUAUUUCCUAGGCCUUUCCACACUACAUGAAUAACUCAAGGCCUUCAAGCCGAUACCGGAGAAGGCAGAGCCGAUCGUGAAGACACUUUGCCUCAUGCAAUGCCUCAUAGCUGUAAAGAGGAGUAUGGAAAUGCAGAUCUUAAUGCGAUGAUCAAUCACUGGAAAUCUUAACAAGAUGGGCUACCCAUCGUUAGUGCUUGCGGAAGUCAAGAUACAGACUUUGUAGAAACUGGAACAGAGCCAAGGGCAGCUAAAUGAUUUGCCAUGCCUAGUGCAAAAUGAAAAUGUGGAACCCUUGUUCAAACAUUAAGAAUUUCAAGAUGGCUACAUUAGAGAAUUAAACAAAGUACAAGGACCUUCUAAGUGGUAUACCCAUGAAGCUGGCUCUGCAGAAAGCCUCUAAGUUCAGGAGUACCACACAGAGGGGAGGGCAGGUAUGAGGCAUGGUACUGAAAGUGAAAUUACAUAAAUAUCUAUACGCUCAAUGGUGAGGUGCCAAUCCUCCACCCUCAAUGACAGCCUACUGUCAUUCAGGCUAUAACUCCCUUGAGAAGUCUGGAGGCCCCACCUACUGAGGAACUGAACUACCUUAGAGAAAGAUACUGGCAUUUGGUAGUUUCCAGCAUAAAUUCUAUCUGGCUGCCCAAAUACACACACUGACAGACCGCCUGGAGAUAAUUUCCAGCCACCUGGAGACAAGCCCCACCCAUAUACACAGAGCUUCUGGAGGCUUUUGGUGUUUCACUAAGAAAGAGUUCCCAGGUACUUGAGGAAAUAAAUAACAACAGCAACACAAAAAGAGCUAUAAACAGAGAAAAAAGAACAGAGAGACAAUAGAGACAAUGCAGGGAGCAGAAUGACAUUUUAGAGAGAAAAUGUUAAUAUUAAAAAUAGUCAUAAUCAAACUAGUGUCAAAUUGCCUUUUGGCAACACUUUUCCCUUCAUACUUUCUCCUGUAACACAGAAGCUGGAAGCUGGGGAGCGUCAUUUCUCAAAAUCUUUGCCAGCCAGCAGGUUCAACGCCAAUGUGAGGCACUUUCAUGAUCCAGAUUCAGAAAGCAGAAGAACAACGAAAGCUGCUCUGGCUACUUCAGGAUUGGAAAGCAAAGAUGUGAUUUUAACAGGCAGCAGGUGUGCAGUGUCGCCAGCAGCUUUCAGGCAUUCUCUUGUGAAAAUUGCUUUGGUGUUGCAGACAUCAAUCAUGCUUUUCUGAGAUUCCUAUAUCUUCCUUAUUUCCUGAAAGGCAGGGGUGGCUUUAUCUAAUCUAUGUUUCAUAGUCUUUCCAUAUUUUUAAGAACCCAUUUCUCUGAAUUAAAUAUGU
Molecule: long non-coding RNA, 1336 nt
Organism: Equus caballus (horse)
Lineage: Eukaryota; Metazoa; Chordata; Mammalia; Perissodactyla; Equidae
Source: RefSeq, a predicted model, not a curated record